CAGAGUUUGAUCAUGGCUCAGAUUGAACGCUGGCGGCAGGCCUAACACAUGCAAGUCGAGCGGAAACGACACUAACAAUCCUUCGGGUGCGUUAAUGGGCGUCGAGCGGCGGACGGGUGAGUAAUGCCUAGGAAAUUGCCUUGAUGUGGGGGAUAACCAUUGGAAACGAUGGCUAAUACCGCAUGAUGCCUACGGGCCAAAGAGGGGGACCUUCGGGCCUCUCGCGUCAAGAUAUGCCUAGGUGGGAUUAGCUAGUUGGUGAGGUAAUGGCUCACCAAGGCGACGAUCCCUAGCUGGUCUGAGAGGAUGAUCAGCCACCCUGAAGGG
Molecule: ribosomal RNA, 327 nt
Filed under: uncultured Vibrio sp.
Lineage: Bacteria; Pseudomonadati; Pseudomonadota; Gammaproteobacteria; Vibrionales; Vibrionaceae
Description: bacterial SSU rRNA
Rfam family: Bacterial small subunit ribosomal RNA
Source: RNAcentral